RNAcentral lists this ribosomal RNA (225 nucleotides) under uncultured bacterium. RNAcentral describes it as "partial 16S ribosomal RNA". It matches the Rfam family "Bacterial small subunit ribosomal RNA", at positions 109 to 334 of the family's 1533-position model. The record is from RNAcentral.
AGUAACGCGUGGAUAACCUGCCUCACACUGGGGGAUAACAGUUAGAAAUGACUGCUAAUACCGCAUAAGCGCACAGUACCGCAUGGUACAGUGUGAAAAACUCCGGUGGUGUGAGAUGGAUCCGCGUCUGAUUAGCCAGUUGGCGGGGUAACGGCCCGCCAAAGCGACGAUCAGUAGCCGACCUGAGAGGGUGACCGGCCACAUUGGGACUGAGACACGGCCCAA